GGCAGGUCCGAAUGUAGUGAUGUUUACAACUAAUUGAUCACAACGAGUUACAGAUUUCUUUUUUCUUCUCUCCUUCCACUGCUUCAUUUGACUAGACUUAA
RNAcentral lists this Y RNA (101 nucleotides) under Piliocolobus tephrosceles (Ugandan red Colobus). RNAcentral describes it as "Y RNA (ENSPTEG00000007893.1)". It matches the Rfam family "Y RNA". From Rfam's summary of the family: Y RNAs are components of the Ro ribonucleoprotein particle (Ro RNP), in association with Ro60 and La proteins. The Y RNAs and Ro60 and La proteins are well conserved, but the function of the Ro RNP is not known. Lineage: Eukaryota; Metazoa; Chordata; Mammalia; Primates; Cercopithecidae. The record is from Rfam by way of RNAcentral.